CUCGCUUGUGGUGAGGCGCCCAACUUUGGAAUAUUUGCACGAAGAAGCUCGCUUGUGGUGAGGCGCCCAACUUUGGAAUAUUUGCACGAAGAAGCUCGCUUGUGGUGAGGCGCCCAACUUUGGAAUAUUUGCACGAAGAAACUCGCUUGUGGUGAGGCGCCCGACUUUGGAAUAUUUGCACGAAGAAGCUCGCUUAUGGUGAGGCGCCCAACUUUGGAAUAUUUACACGAAGAAGCUCGCUUGUG
This 245-nucleotide long non-coding RNA is filed under the name Erythranthe guttata (spotted monkey flower). RNAcentral's name for it is "long non-coding RNA (EGUT_LNC003447)". The record is from RNAcentral. Lineage: Eukaryota; Viridiplantae; Streptophyta; Magnoliopsida; Lamiales; Phrymaceae.